This 569-nucleotide ribosomal RNA is filed under the name uncultured bacterium. RNAcentral describes it as "partial 16S ribosomal RNA". It matches the Rfam family "Bacterial small subunit ribosomal RNA", at positions 355 to 920 of the family's 1533-position model. The record is from RNAcentral.
UGGGGAAUUUUGGACAAUGGGCGAAAGCCUGAUCCAGCAAUGCCGCGUGUGUGAAGAAGGCCUUCGGGUUGUAAAGCACUUUUGUCCGGAAAGAAAUCCUUGGCUCUAAUACAGUCGGGGGAUGACGGUACCGGAAGAAUAAGCACCGGCUAACUACGUGCCAGCAGCCGCGGUAAUACGUAGGGUGCAAGCGUUAAUCGGAAUUACAGGGCGUAAAGCGUGCGCAGGCGGUUUGCUAAGACCGAUGUGAAAUCCCCGGGCUCAACCUGGGAACUGCAUUGGUGACUGGCAGGCUAGAGUAUGGCAGAGGGGGGUAGAAUUCCACGUGUAGCAGUGAAAUGCGUAGAGAUGUGGAGGAAUACCGAUGGCGAAGGCAGCCCCCUGGGCCAAUACUGACGCUCGUGCACGAAAGCGUGGGGAGCAAACAGGAUUAGAUACCCUGGUAGUCCACGCCCUAAACGAUGUCAACUAGUUGUGGGAUUCAUUCCUUAGUAACGUAGCUAACGCGUGAAGUUGACCGCCUGGGGAGUACGGUCGCAAGAUUAAAACUUAAAUGAAUUGACGGGGUC